Non-coding RNA from Ahrensia sp., 223 nucleotides. The record is from Rfam. Lineage: Bacteria; Pseudomonadati; Pseudomonadota; Alphaproteobacteria; Hyphomicrobiales; Ahrensiaceae.
CUAAUGUCGGCCCGCAAUGAUUCUGAAAACCCAGAUGUGUUUUUGGAUGAAAAGGGAAUGUGACGGGUGAACCCAAAUCGGGCACCUUUAUCACGGCCGACCCCGCGACUGUAGAAUGGUUAGCACACCGCGUCUUUAACAAGACACCACUGGAAUAGCCCGGGAAGGUAGAUGUGCCGGACAAACCAUGAGCCAGGAGACCUGCCUUUGCGAUUGAUCUGAU